UCUAUAUCAUUUAUGAAUUCAAUGAACACACAUUAUUUAAACGUUCUAUGUGCAACUAUUUGUCGGGGCGCCCCUGUUUGUAACCCCCGCGCGCGCGCCGAAUGUAAACAGUAACGAACGGCAUUGUACAGCUGUUGUAGAAAAGAGAGAGCUGUAAUGCAGAAGAGAAGUUGUGUAUUCUUUCGGUGUACACAUGCAUUUUCAAUUUACUGUGAAACAUAUGAACAUGCACAGGGAACAAUACUACAUAUUUGUUUAAGGAGGAUAUUUUUCUCGUGUGAAUCGUUUACGAGGAAAUUCUGACAGCCACACUUCUGUCGACGAUCAGCCGUUGAUAAGCUACGAGUAAUAAAGGAGAAAAGAUGGACAUUAAAGUGUGUGAUUUAUGUGGAUGUUACUGAAGAAGCUCAAAACAGACUCUUGUUACCACAUGGCUUUUACCGGUACCUGUUGAUUCUUGUGGGUCAGCUCCUGAGAUUAACCUGUCACCUCUAUCCACAUGCAUAUUCCUUGUGUUCUACAGACUAUUUACCGGUAAUUCAAAUUAAAUCCGAUAAUGCAUGAACAAUAAUGGAACUUGAAGAAAGCAUCAUGCCAUGUUGUGGUUUGUGUUUGAUAAGAAAUUAUGAAAACAAAAUUAAGGCUGUUUAAAGAAAUUCAUAAUUGCUGUGAAAAUUUGUUUUUCAAUAAAAGUAUACAAUUAU
Long non-coding RNA from Magallana angulata, 704 nucleotides. RefSeq lists it as uncharacterized. The transcript has 2 exons. The record is from RefSeq and is a predicted model, not a curated record. Lineage: Eukaryota; Metazoa; Mollusca; Bivalvia; Ostreida; Ostreidae.